CCUACGGGAGGCAGCAGUGGGGAAUAUUGCACAAUGGGGGAAACCCUGAUGCAGCGACGCCGCGUGAGUGAAGAAGUAUUUCGGUAUGUAAAGCCCUGUUAGUAGGGAAGAAAAUGACGGUAUCUGACCAAGAAGCCCCGGCUAACUACGUGCCAGCAGCCGCGGUAAUACGUAGGGGGCAAGCGUUACUCGGAUUUACUGGGCGUAAAGGGAGCGUAGACGGCAGGGCAAGUCAGAUGUGAAAGGCGAGGGCUCAACCCUCGGACUGCAUUGGAAACUGCUAGGCUAGAGUGUGGGAGAGGUAGGUGGAAUUCCUGGUGUAGCGGUAAAAUCCGUAGAUAUUAAGAGGAACACCAAUGGCGAAGGCGACUUGCUAGACUAUAACUGACGUUGAGGCUCGAAAGCGUGGGGAGCAAACAGGAUUAGAUACCCUAGUAGUC
RNAcentral lists this ribosomal RNA (440 nucleotides) under uncultured bacterium. Its description in RNAcentral is "partial 16S ribosomal RNA". It matches the Rfam family "Bacterial small subunit ribosomal RNA", at positions 338 to 795 of the family's 1533-position model. The record is from RNAcentral.